This 467-nucleotide ribosomal RNA is filed under the name uncultured bacterium. Its description in RNAcentral is "partial 16S ribosomal RNA". It matches the Rfam family "Bacterial small subunit ribosomal RNA", at positions 28 to 507 of the family's 1533-position model. The record is from RNAcentral.
GACGAACGCUGGCGGCGUGCUUAACACAUGCAAGUCGAACGGAAAGGCCUCUUUCGGGGGGUACUCGAGUGGCGAACGGGUGAGUAACACGUGAGUAACCUGCCCUUGACUUUGGGAUAACUUCAGGAAACUGGGGCUAAUACCGGAUAGGAGCUCCUGCUGCAUGGUGGGGGUUGGAAAGUUUCGGCGGUUGGGGAUGGACUCGCGGCUUAUCAGCUUGUUGGUGGGGUAGUGGCUUACCAAGGCUUUGACGGGUAGCCGGCCUGAGAGGGUGACCGGCCACAUUGGGACUGAGAUACGGCCCAGACUCCUACGGGAGGCAGCAGUGGGGAAUAUUGCACAAUGGGUGGAAGCCCGAUGCAGCAACGCCGUGUGCGGGAGGACGGCCUUCGGGUUGUAAACCGCUUUCGCUCAUGACGAAGCUUUGUGUGACGGUAGUGGGUAAAGAAGCACCGGCUAACUACGUG